This 460-nucleotide ribosomal RNA is filed under the name uncultured bacterium. Its description in RNAcentral is "partial 16S ribosomal RNA". It matches the Rfam family "Bacterial small subunit ribosomal RNA", at positions 338 to 795 of the family's 1533-position model. The record is from RNAcentral.
CCUACGGGUGGCAGCAGUGAGGAAUAUUGGUCAAUGGACGAGAGUCUGAACCAGCAAAGCAGCGUGAAGGAUGACUGCCCUAUGGGUUGUAAACUUCUUUUAUAUGGGAAUAGAAUGUUACACGUGUGGGGUUUUGUACGUACCCUAUGAAUAAGGAUGGGCUAACUCCGAGCCAGCAGCCGCGGUAAUACGGAGGAUCCGAGCGUUAUCCGGAUUUAUUGGGUUUAAAGGGAGCGUAGGUGGUUUGUUAAGUCAGUUGCGAAAGUUUGCGGCUCAACCGUAAAAUUGCAGUUGAAACUGGCAGUCUUGAGUACAGUAGAGGUGGGCGGAAUUCGUGGUGUAGCGGUGAAAUGCGUAGAUAUCACGAAGAACACCGAUUGCGAAGGCGGCUCACUGGACUGCAACUGACACUGAGGCACGAAAGUGUGGGUAGCAAACAGGAUUAGAUACCCUUGUAGUC